UGGGGAAUAUUGCACAAUGGGCGCAAGCCUGAUGCAGCCAUGCCGCGUGUAUGAAGAAGGCCUUCGGGUUGUAAAGUACUUUCAGCGGGGAGGAAGGUGUUGUGGUUAAUAACCACAGCAAUUGACGUUACCCGCAGAAGAAGCACCGGCUAACUCCGUGCCAGCAGCCGCGGUAAUACGGAGGGUGCAAGCGUUAAUCGGAAUUACUGGGCGUAAAGCGCACGCAGGCGGUCUGUCAAGUCGGAUGUGAAAUCCCCGGGCUCAACCUGGGAACUGCAUCCGAAACUGGCAGGCUUGAGUCUUGUAGAGGGGGGUAGAAUUCCAGGUGUAGCGGUGAAAUGCGUAGAGAUCUGGAGGAAUACCUGUGGCGAAGGCGGCCCCCUGGACAAAGACUGACGCUCAGGUGCGAAAGCGUGGGGAGCAAACA
Molecule: ribosomal RNA, 427 nt
Filed under: uncultured bacterium
Lineage: Bacteria
Description: partial 16S ribosomal RNA
Rfam family: Bacterial small subunit ribosomal RNA
Source: RNAcentral